CACGUAGGGCGCAAGCGUUGUCCGGAAUUAUUGGGCGUAAAGAGCUCGUAGGCGGUCUGUUGCGUCCGCUGUGAAAACUCGGGGCUUAACCCCGAGCCUGCAGUGGAUACGGGCAGACUAGAGGUAGGUAGGGGAGAAUGGAAUUCCCGGUGUAGCGGUGAAAUGCGCAGAGAUCAGGUGGAACACCGAUGGCGAAGGCAGCCUCCUGGACGGGUACUGACGCUGAGGCGCGAAAGCGUGGGGAGCGAACGGG
RNAcentral lists this ribosomal RNA (253 nucleotides) under uncultured bacterium. Its description in RNAcentral is "partial 16S ribosomal RNA". It matches the Rfam family "Bacterial small subunit ribosomal RNA", at positions 524 to 776 of the family's 1533-position model. The record is from RNAcentral.